CUUAUCAGAGCGAGUACGUGUCAUCAGGGGAAUAUAGGGGUCGGUCGUGGCGGCAUCAACUCCUUAAGGGAUCCAGCUUCUGAAGAGAAUUCGGUGAAAUUAUCAGACGGCCCAAACGAACGAGAUCGCAGAAGAGGGAUGGUUUUUUUGAGAGGUUUUGGAGAGAGAAAGUUUUAGAGAAAUAAUUUGUGUGAAAUUGUGAAUUUGCAACAAAUUGGAUAAAAUAUUAAAUUUGAUUUCAACUUCCCAAAAUGUAUCAUAAUGAUAUUAGAUCCGGAUGUUCACGGCUUCAUAUCAAUCAUUCUAAAUAUCAACCUAACUUUGCUGAUACUCGGUACUAGAAGAGUAGAAGUGGGAACAAACCGAUUCCAAUUUAGAGUUCCAAUAAUCAAAUUGGUGUACCUAGACACCGAGUAAGAUAGCCGUCGCCGCAAUCGAGGUCGUCACUACACACUCGUCGCCGUCUGAGUCUCCGGAAGAGCUCGUCCUAAUCGGAGAGUUGUCGUCGUCCGUCGCCGAUUAAGAUAGCAGCCGCUGCAAUCGAGGUCGUCACUAGACACUCGUAUCCGUGACUCUGGGUCUCCGGAAGAGCUCGUCCUCAUCGGAGAGUCGUCGUCCGCCGUCGCCAUGGAGUAGGGUUCAGAAAGGGGUUUUGCUUCCCUCGACUAUGUGAGUUCGCGAGAGAGAGGAGGGAGGAAGGGCAUUAGGAUAGGGUUGACUGUGUGUUGACUGUUGGGAAAGAG
Molecule: long non-coding RNA, 743 nt
Filed under: Linum usitatissimum (flax)
Lineage: Eukaryota; Viridiplantae; Streptophyta; Magnoliopsida; Malpighiales; Linaceae
Description: long non-coding RNA (LUSI_LNC004420)
Source: RNAcentral